GUCAAGUAAGAAUACCCGCUGAACUUAAGCAUAUCAAUAAGCGGAGGAAAAGAAACUAACUAGGAUCCCCUUAGUAACGGCGAGUGAACUGGGAAGAGCUCAAAUUUUAAAUCACUUUGGUGAAUUGUAAUUUGAAGAAAGUGUUUUGACUUUUCAGUUUAAUCUAAAUCCUUUGGGAUGAGGUAUCAUAGAGGGUGAGAAUCCCGUUUGUGAUUAAACCUCGGAUUGCACUAAUUCACUUUCUAAGAGUCGAGUUGUUUGGGAUUGCAGCUCUAAAUGGGUGGUAAAUUUCACCUAAGGCUAAAUAUAUGCAAGAGACCGAUAGCGAACAAGUACCGUGAGGGAAAGAUUAAAAGAACUUUGAAAAGAGAGUUAAACAGUACGUGAAAUUGUUGAAAGGGAAACGAUUGAAGUCAGUCAUGCUAGUGAGGAAUCAACUUGGUGGUUUACUUCCUUGUGUAUUUUCUUACUUGGCAGGUUAGCAUCAAUUUUGGUUGUCAUCAAAUAAUUGGGGGAAUGUGGCUUUUCUUCGGGAAAGUGUUAUAGACCUUGAUAGAUGUGGCGACUGAGAUUGAGGUUUGCAGCGAAUGCCUUGGGCUAGUCAUCUGUCUUCUGACCGUCACCUCGCUUUUGACAGCUUGCUGAUGAUUGCGGGAUUUGGUGGCCUAGAAGUUAGAAUGUACAUAAAUUCGCUAAGGAUGCUGACGUAAUGGCUUUAAACGACCCGUCUUGAAACACGGACCAAGGAGUCUAACAUGUGUGCGAGUGUU
Molecule: ribosomal RNA, 770 nt
Filed under: uncultured Acaulosporaceae
Lineage: Eukaryota; Fungi; Glomeromycota; Glomeromycetes; Diversisporales; Acaulosporaceae
Description: eukaryotic LSU rRNA
Rfam family: Eukaryotic large subunit ribosomal RNA
Source: RNAcentral